RNAcentral lists this ribosomal RNA (255 nucleotides) under uncultured bacterium. RNAcentral describes it as "partial 16S ribosomal RNA". It matches the Rfam family "Bacterial small subunit ribosomal RNA", at positions 524 to 776 of the family's 1533-position model. The record is from RNAcentral.
UACGUAGGGUGCGAGCGUUUAAUCGGAAUUACUGGGCGUAAAGCGUGCGCAGGCGGUUUUGUAAGCCAGAUGUGAAAUCCCCGGGCUUAACCUGGGAAUGGCAUUUGGGACUGCAAGGCUUGAGUGCGGCAGAGGAGACUGGAAUUCCUGGUGUAGCAGUGAAAUGCGUAGAUAUCAGGAGGAACACCGAUGGCGAAGGCAGGUCUCUGGGCUGACACUGACGCUCAUGCACGAAAAGCGUGGGGAGCAAACAGG